CCUACGGGCGGCUGCAGUGGGGAAUAUUGGACAAUGGGCGCAAGCCUGAUCCAGCAAUGCCGCGUGUGUGAAGAAGGCCUGCGGGUUGUAAAGCACUUUAAGCAGGAAAGAAGGGGUGAAAGUUAAUACCUUUCAUCAUUGACGUUACCUGCAGAAUAAGCACCGGCUAACUCCGUGCCAGCAGCCGCGGUAAUACGGAGGGUGCGAGCGUUAAUCGGAAUUACUGUAGGUGAUGCGCGCAGUGCGUCGUGAAAGCCCUGGGCUUAAACUGGGUACUGCGGUGGAUACGGUCGGGCUAGAGUGUGGUAGAGGGGAGUGGAAUUUACGGUGUAGCAGUGAAAUGCGUAGAGAUCGGAAGGAACACCAGUGGCGAAGGCGGCUCCCUGGACUAACACUGACGCUGAGGUGCGAAAGCGUGGGGAGCAAACAGGAUUAGAUACCCCAGUAGUC
Molecule: ribosomal RNA, 450 nt
Filed under: uncultured bacterium
Lineage: Bacteria
Description: partial 16S ribosomal RNA
Rfam family: Bacterial small subunit ribosomal RNA
Source: RNAcentral